AUGAAGAUCAGGUUAUGAAGAUCAGGUUAUGAAGAUCAGGUUAUGAUGAUCAGGUUAUGAUGAUCAGGUUAUGAAGAUCAGGUUAUGAAGAUCAGGUUAUGAAGAUCAGGUUAUGAAGAUCAGGUUAUGAAGAUCAGGUUAUGAUGAUCAGGUUAUGAUGAUGAGGUUAUGAAGAUCAGGUUAUGAUGAUCAGGUUAUGAAGAUCAGGUUAUGAUGAUCAGGUUAUGAUGAUCAGGUUAUGAAGAUCAGGUUAUGAUGAUCAGGUUAUGAUGAUCAGGUUAUGAUGAUCAGGUUAUGAUGAUCUAUCGGCGCAGUGAUGGAGUGUUUGGGGUUUCAGCUGCACAACAGCUUCACUGGAUAUUUCAAUUUCACAAUUUUCUAAACAUUUUUUAAACCACAGCAAAUAAACUGAUAAUGUGAGACAUGUUGAAGGUGUCUG
Carassius gibelio (silver crucian carp) is the source of this 439-nucleotide long non-coding RNA. RefSeq lists it as uncharacterized. Lineage: Eukaryota; Metazoa; Chordata; Actinopteri; Cypriniformes; Cyprinidae. The transcript has 6 exons. The record is from RefSeq and is a predicted model, not a curated record.